This 255-nucleotide unclassified non-coding RNA is filed under the name Hevea brasiliensis (rubber tree). The record is from RNAcentral. Lineage: Eukaryota; Viridiplantae; Streptophyta; Magnoliopsida; Malpighiales; Euphorbiaceae.
ACAGAAUUUCAAACAAAUAAAAUCUGUACCCAAGAAAGCAAGGCAUACUAUCUUACUACAGAGCUAAUCCCUUAUCAUUUCAGCCAUCUAGUCAUAUUUCUUUUUGAAGUUCCAAAAUUAUAUUUGUGGUAUUGCAGCAGAUCUAGUUGUCACCCUUAUGAUACCGACAAUGAUCUCAACUUGCAUGAUUACCAGUAAUACAGAAAUGAGAUAAUAAUGUAUCAUAAACACAUUUUCCCAUUCUAUGUAGUUCUA